GAAUUAUUUCAUCCUGGAGGUAGAGCACUGAAUGUGGAAUGGCCGCGUCUAGCGGUACUGACUGCAAUCAACCUCCGAAUGCCAGGAAUUGUAGAUUCAGGAGUCAGUGUAUGAGGUGAUAACGUCCAUACGCGAAAGGAAAACAAUCCAGACCAUCAACUAAGGUCCCUAAAUAUAUGUUAAGUGGGAAAGGAUGUGGAGACGCACGAACAGCUAGGAGGUUGGCUUAGAAGCAGCCAUCCUUUAAAGAGUGCGUAAUAGCUCACUAGUCGAGUAUCUCUGCGCCGAAAAUGUACCGGGGCUAAACAUAUUACCGAAGUUAUGGAUUUAUAAUUUAUUAUAAAUGGUAGGGGAGCGUUCUAAGGGUGCUGAAGGUAGAUCGCGAGGACUACUGGAGCGCUUAGAAGUGAGAAUGCCGGUGUGAGUAACGUAAGGUAGGUGAGAAUCCUACCCACUAUUUGACCAAGGUUUCCAGGGUCAAGUUCGUCUUCCCUGGGUUAGUCAGGACCUAAGGCGAGGCUGAAAAGCGUAGUCGAUGGACAACAGGUUUAUAUUCCUGUACUGCUUAUAAGACUGAUGGAGUGACGGAGAAAGCUAGGAAGGGCCAGUUAUUGGAUUCUGGUCUAAGCAAGUAGGCUGAUACAUAGGAAAAUCCGUGAUAUCGAUAAGGCUGAGAUGUGAUGGCGACGUGGUCUACGGACUACUAAGUCUUCUGAAGCUAUGCUUCCAAGAAAAACUUCUAAAGAUAUGUUAUAAGUACCUGUACCUAGAACCGACACAGGUGGUCAAGGAGAGAAUCCUAAGGUGAGCGAGAGAACUAUGGUUAAGGAACUCGGCAAAAUUACCCCGUAACUUCGGAAUAAGGGGAGGUUUCUUCGGAAACCCGCAGUGAAUAGGUCCAGGCAACUGUUUACCAAAAACACAGGUCUCUGCUAAAGCGUAAGCUGAUGUAUAGGGGCUGACGCCUGCCCAGUGCUGGAAGGUUAAGAUGAUUUGUUAGGUGGACGAAAGUCGAUAACACCGAAGCUUUGAUUUGAAGCCCCAGUGAACGGCGGCGAUAACUAUAAUCGUCCAAAGGUAGCGAAAUUCCUUGUCAGGUAAGUUCUGACCCGCACGAAAGGCGUAAUGAUCUGGACGCUGUCUCAACCAUAGACUCGGUGAAAUCUUAAUACCUGUGAAAAUGCAGGUUACCCGCGACAGGACGGAAAGACCCCAUGGAGCUUUACUGUAGCUUGAUAUUGAAGUUAGGUAAUUUAUGUAGAGGAUAGGUGGUAGACUAUGAUGUAUGGACGCCAGUUCAUACGGAGUCGCCCUUGGAAUACCACCCUUAAAUUAUUUGACCUCUAACUUACUCCCGUUAUCCGGGAGGAGGACAGUGUCUGGUGGGCAGUUUGACUGGGGCGGUCGCCUCCCAAAGAGUAACGGAGGCGCUCAAAGGUUCCCUCAGAUUGGUCGGAAAUCAAUCAAAGAGUGUAAUGGUAUAAGGGAGCUUGACUGCGAGACCUACAAGUCGAGCAGGUGCGAAAGCAGGACAUAGUGAUCUGGCGGUAGAAUAUGGAAUUGCCGUCGCUUAACGGAUAAAAGUUACCCUGGGGAUAACAGGCUGAUACCACCCAAUAGUUCACAUAGACGGUGGUGUUUGGCACCUCGAUGUCGGCUCGUC
RNAcentral lists this ribosomal RNA (1663 nucleotides) under human gut metagenome. RNAcentral describes it as "bacterial LSU rRNA". It matches the Rfam family "Bacterial large subunit ribosomal RNA", at positions 884 to 2541 of the family's 2925-position model. The record is from RNAcentral.